Molecule: ribosomal RNA, 497 nt
Filed under: uncultured bacterium
Lineage: Bacteria
Description: partial 16S ribosomal RNA
Rfam family: Bacterial small subunit ribosomal RNA
Source: RNAcentral
ACUCAAAGGAAUUGACGGGGGCCCGCACAAGCGGCGGAGCAUGUGGCUUAAUUCGAUGCAACGCGAAGAACCUUACCAAGGCUGAACUACGCCGGAAAAGCCGUAGAAAUACGGUGUCCUUCGGGGUCGGCGAUAGGUGGUGCAUGGCUGUCGUCAGCUCGUGUCGUGAGAUGUUGGGUUAAGUCCCGCAACGAGCGCAACCCUUAUCCCAUGUUGCCAGCGAGUUAUGUCGGGGACUCGUGGGAGACUGCCGGUGCCAAACCGGAGGAAGGUGGGGAUGACGUCAAGUCAGCAUGCCCCUUACGUCUUGGGCUGCACACAUGCUACAAUGGCCGGUACAAAGGGCUGCAAACCCGCGAGGGUGAGCCAAUCCCAUAAAGCCGGUCUCAGUUCGGAUCGCAGUCUGCAACUCGACUGCGUGAAGUCGGAGUCGCUAGUAAUCGCAGAUCAGCAUUGCUGCGGUGAAUACGUUCCCGGGCCUUGUACACACCGCCCGU